GAUGACCUGGGAAGAGGCCGGAGCCGAGAGCGAGGAGAAGGCGAACAGCAGGUCCGGCGCAGGAGUGGAAGUGGAGAUGC
Non-coding RNA from Pseudonaja textilis, 80 nucleotides. Lineage: Eukaryota; Metazoa; Chordata; Lepidosauria; Squamata; Elapidae. The record is from RefSeq and is a predicted model, not a curated record.